AUUUAAAUAGCUUAAAAAGAGUGUAAUAUUGAAGAUAUUAAGGUGAUUAUUUUAAUUUUUAAAUA
Molecule: transfer RNA, 65 nt
Filed under: Halpe nephele
Lineage: Eukaryota; Metazoa; Arthropoda; Insecta; Lepidoptera; Hesperiidae
Description: tRNA-Phe
Source: RNAcentral